RNAcentral lists this ribosomal RNA (253 nucleotides) under uncultured bacterium. Its description in RNAcentral is "partial 16S ribosomal RNA". It matches the Rfam family "Bacterial small subunit ribosomal RNA", at positions 524 to 776 of the family's 1533-position model. The record is from RNAcentral.
UACGUAGGGGGCAAGCGUUGUCCGGAUUUAUUGGGCGUAAAGAGCGUGUAGGCGGCUUUACAGGUCCGUUGUGAAAACUCGAGGCUCAACCUCGAGACGCCGGUGGAAACCGUAAAGCUAGAGUCCGGAAGAGGAGAGUGGAAUUCCUGGUGUAGCGGUGAAAUGCGCAGAUAUCAGGAAGAACACCCGUGGCGAAGGCGGGUCUCUGGGCCGUAACUGACGCUGAGGAGCGAAAGCAUGGGGAGCGAACAGG